UACUCUAGCCAUACCACCCUGAUCAUGCUCAAUCUCAUCUGAUCUCAGAAGCUAAGCUGGGUUGGGACUGGUCAGUACUUAGAUGGGAGACUCUGCCUGAAAUAAUGAGUGCUAUAGGGC
RNAcentral lists this ribosomal RNA (120 nucleotides) under Microcebus murinus (gray mouse lemur). The record is from RNAcentral. Lineage: Eukaryota; Metazoa; Chordata; Mammalia; Primates; Cheirogaleidae.